AUAGAGUCAAGUGAAUAAGUGCAUCAGGUGGAUGCCUUGGCGAUGAUAGGCGAAGAAGGACGUGUAAGCCUGCGAAAAGCGUGGGGGAGCUGGCAAUAGAGCUGUGAUCCCGCGAUGUCCGAAUGGGGAAACCCACCAUGUAAAAGCAUGGUAUCCUGCACUGAAUCCAUAGGUGCAGAGAAGCGAACCUGGAGAACUGAACCAUCUAAGUACCCAGAGGAAAAGAAAUCAACCGAGAUUGCGCAAGUAGUGGCGAGCGAACGCGUAAGAGCCUGUAUAUGAUAGUCACUGAGAUAGAAGAACAAGCUGGGAAGCUUGGCCGUAGAGGGUGAAAGCCCCGUAUUCGAAAUUUCAGAGGCGGUACUAAGUAUACGCAAAGUAGGGCGGGACACGCGAAAUCCUGUCUGAAGAUGGGGGGACCAUCCUCCAAGGCUAAAUACUCAUCAUCGACCGAUAGUGAACCAGUACCGUGAGGGAAAGGCGAAAAGAACCCCGGGAGGGGAGUGAAAUAGAACCUGAAACCUGAUGCAUACAAACAGUGGGAGCGGAGAAAUCCGUGACUGCGUACCUUUUGUAUAAUGGGUCAACGACUUACAUUCAGUAGCGAGCUUAACCGAUUAGGGGAGGCGCA
This 631-nucleotide ribosomal RNA is filed under the name Snodgrassella alvi. Its description in RNAcentral is "bacterial LSU rRNA". It matches the Rfam family "Bacterial large subunit ribosomal RNA", at positions 1 to 670 of the family's 2925-position model. The record is from RNAcentral. Lineage: Bacteria; Pseudomonadati; Pseudomonadota; Betaproteobacteria; Neisseriales; Neisseriaceae.